This 477-nucleotide ribosomal RNA is filed under the name uncultured Paenibacillus sp. RNAcentral's name for it is "bacterial SSU rRNA". It matches the Rfam family "Bacterial small subunit ribosomal RNA", at positions 907 to 1382 of the family's 1533-position model. The record is from RNAcentral. Lineage: Bacteria; Bacillati; Bacillota; Bacilli; Caryophanales; Paenibacillaceae.
UUAGAAUUGACGGGGCCCGCACAAGCAGUGGAGUAUGUGGUUAAUUCGAAGCAACGCGAAGAACCUUACCAGGGCUUGACAUCCCUUGAAGCAGCUAGAGAUAGCUGUGUCCUUCGGGACAAGGAGACAGGUGGUGCAUGGUUGUCGUCAGCUCGUGUCGUGAGAUGUUGGGUUAAGUCCCGCAACGAGCGCAACCCCUGUGGUUAGUUGCCAGCAAGUAGCGUUGGGCACUCUGGCCAGACUGCCGGUGAUAAAUCGGAGGAAGGUGGGGACGACGUCAAAUCAUCAUGCCCUUUAUGUCCUGGGCUACACACGUACUACAAUGGCCGUUACAACGGGAAGCGAAGGAGCAAUCCGGAGCAAAUCCCUUAAAGCCAAUCUCAGUUCGGAUUGUAGGCUGCAACUCGCCUACAUGAAGUCGGAAUCGCUAGUAAUCGCGGAUCAGCACGCCCGCGGUCGAAUACGUUCCCGGGCCUU